This 46-nucleotide non-coding RNA is filed under the name Schistosoma haematobium. RNAcentral also lists the same sequence under 1 other name. The record is from RNAcentral. Lineage: Eukaryota; Metazoa; Platyhelminthes; Trematoda; Strigeidida; Schistosomatidae.
GCACUGCUGAGGAGUCCCAUACUAGGACGCAACGGCCGUCCAGUGC